UACGUAGGUGGCAAGCGUUGUCCGGAAUUAUUAGGCGUAAAGCGCGCGCAGGCGGUCCUUUAAGUCUGAUGUGAAAGCCCCUGGCUUAACCGGGGAAGUGCACCCGAAACUGGGUAGCUAGAGUGCAAAAGAGGGUCGCGGAAUUCCCAGUGUAGAGGUGAAAUUCGUAGAUAUUGGGAGGAACACCGGUGGCGAAGGCGGCGACCUGGGUUGACACUGACGCUGAGGCGCGAAAGCGUGGGGAGCAAACAGG
Molecule: ribosomal RNA, 253 nt
Filed under: uncultured bacterium
Lineage: Bacteria
Description: partial 16S ribosomal RNA
Rfam family: Bacterial small subunit ribosomal RNA
Source: RNAcentral